AUGCUGGCCGUGCACACACACAAGCAGCGGAGUGAAAAGCCUCCUUCACAUCGUUCCCAAACAAAUCCCGAUGCCACCACCACGUCAGCCCGGGCGCUGCACGCUUGGUACUUACAGGAGCGUCCUGCUGCUGCUGCGGGGACAGGGACGGGAGAGCUGCUGGAGGGGAGGGCACAUGGAGAGCCGCAGGAGCGAGGGGAGGAAGGGCCCCGGCCCCUCUUUGGGCCCCAGAGGCAGCAGCACUUGUUCACGGGAUGGAGAGCAACAACGCUGGCAUGCCUAGAGCAGCAAGGACAAUGGGGAGGGACGAGGAGGCGCUGCCAUAAUCAAAUGCAGGCCAGCUGGCCCUCCCCCAGGAAGGGCAGGCACCUCCUUCACUUGCCAAAGGCUUUGUUUUCUAAGCCACAAAGAACAAAGUGGUGCGAGGGUGAGAGGGAGAGAAGGGCUGAGGAGAACCCGACGUGGGCAGAGCCACACGUGAGCGCAGGUAACGCGCCCAGAGAUGCCAAGAGAGACGCAGAGCGGCUGGGUGACACUCUGCACAUGCUGAGCAGCGGGGCCUCGCUGGAGAUCCCUGCUGCAGAGACAGAACCAGCCCAGGUGGAUGGCUGGGCUCCUUCCAGAGAUGAGAUCCAAGGGCCAGAGAACGCCUCUGAAGGGAAGGCUCCAGAGCAGAGCCCAAAGGAAUCCCAACGAGGGAAACGCCAACGUUUCUCCAGCAGCCUCAGCCCACCAGUCCCAAGCGCUGGGCCUCCGGAUGGCUUCCCCUUGGAAAGCGAAUGCAAGGCGAGGUCCCAAGGUUCCCACCAGAGGAGGCAGCGCCUUGCACAACAUCCUGCAGAGCAGGAUAAAAAGCCCUGGGGGCUGGGGCUGCCCCGGGGGCCCUCCUGUGAUGACACAGGCACAACAGCUCCCAGGCGCUGGGUACCAACCACCCCAUGGCCGCAGGGCACGCAGGUGCUGAGCUGGUGGGAUGCGGCUCUGCCCUUUCCAGUUGGGCCAGGGCUUUCUUCCAGCAGGGACUUUUUGGCAGAAAGCAUCACGAGUCUGCCACCGACUUUCUGCAGGACUGCUUGA
This 1077-nucleotide long non-coding RNA is filed under the name Anas zonorhyncha (Eastern spot-billed duck). RNAcentral describes it as "lncRNA (ENSAZOG00000017754.1)". Lineage: Eukaryota; Metazoa; Chordata; Aves; Anseriformes; Anatidae. The record is from RNAcentral.